CUAUAUCAGCACUGCAUGAACUUGCAUGACCUUCACCUCGGUCAUAAACAAAGAUGGCAGCUUCUGUCAAAACUUGUCAGAAUUCAGGGUGAAAAAUCGUAGUUAUUUCAUCAAUUUCUGCAAGAAAUAAAGUUGGUACCACCUCCUCCUUCCAAUCGCCGAGAGUUAUGUUCAACUGUUGCACCUCGAAGAAGGCAUGAUUAUGCUGUAGACAUUGAGCCAGACUUCCCACCCAUGUUCCGGACAUCCCUCUCAAGUGCGUGUAGUCUUUUACAAGAAUCAGAGGAGUCAUUGGUUGAGAGCGGAAUGGCUUCAGAUACUAACACAUCCCUUGUACAACUUGAGAGGCUUCUUGCUGAGCUAGUGUCAUAUCCCUAGGUGAGCCAAGGAGUCUUUUACAUGAUGGCUGUGCAUAACAAAUCUUCAUCUAGCCUGUGUGACAGGGAUAUCAUAUGAUUUGUGGAGAGCGGAAGUUUUCUUGGGUUUUUCCACAACAAAAGAGACGAUAUACCCUUUGAAGGUCCUGGAUAUCGUGUCUACUCGGAAGCAGACCUGAGCGAUAUGAAAGAAAAGUCACAGGAACGGACAGCCAGUAUCAGGGUGAUAAGGAGUGCAAAAAGUGGAAAGCAAGUCCAAGGUCGCAAUCGCUCUGGUGAAGUUUAUUCAAAGAAGGUGAAGGCAAUUCAAAAGCAUAUUGCUGUAAGUUGUCAAGUCGUUUUUUUCUAAAUAUUGCAACAUGAUAAUGAUUUGAUUUUCCUCUUGAUUUGCUAGGCCAUUUUCAUUUACUAGCAUAUACCCAUGGAGCGGGCAAAGUCGAAACUAAAAAUAGAAUAGGCUAAUUAAUCCCCCUGCCAAUACCCUGCACCAUGGACCAGGUUGUACAGCACUACAUACGUGCUGGAAGCUAAUACUGAUGUGGCAGGGAGAAUAUGCGAGAAGUUUGUGUAUGCUUUUGAGAAUGAGCGGAGCUCUCGAGUCCACGUGCUCUCUGCAAAGUUGUUAUUUAUUCUAAAACCACGAAGAUAUUCAACGUAUGACACCCUCAGUGACACUCUUACAAUAUGAUCCACACCUAAGAAGCAAAACGUUGCAAGAAUUCGUCGCAUUUCCAAGGCUCAAUUUUGAAACAAAAAUUACCUCCUAAAUAGCGGCCACAAUGCGCAUUAUAGUAUAGAUUUUCCACAUCCACUUUGAUUUUGUUCAGGUUAUUGAGGCGACAGCUGCUGGUUUAUGUGAGACACUUGACAUUAAAUUGUUUGUUCAUGUUGUGAGAAGGAAUGCUAGUGCUAAGAAAGAGGUUGAUAAGUAAGAAUGUCCAUUUUUUUCUGUUGGCAGUGUUGCCCUACAGGUUGUUCUCUUUGGUUCAUUUUCUUUUUGUUUCUUUCUUUAUCUUUGGUUUAAUUCUUAACCCAAGCCCAGCCGAUGGUCAUUUAGCUGCUGUAAAUGAACUAUACUCUGGCAUCCUUUAAGAUUGGAUUAGCAAGAGCAUUUUGCCUUUAAAUCAAUAUUGUUGUUAUUCUUAGAGGAGCAGUAAGCUGUCAACGAUUGGCCUGCCGUUUAGAAACCACUGUCACAUGCCCCAAGACAGUAGCGCUCCUGUGAUGUGGCGAUAUGCACUAAGCCGGCGAUGAAGAACACAUCAGGGGUUUUUUAAAUGGCGGGCCCCUCGUUUACCGUUUUCUCCAUCAAAUACACUGCUCCUUUAUUUAUUGGAACAUGUAACCCUUUUGCUGCUGACCAAUAUUUUGUCUGAUGUGCUGUCCAAGUAAAUGAAUCCUACGCUACAUGCUCCCACUACCAGUGGCUGGGCUUUCAGAGUGGCUUACAACAAAUUCAAUGAGGUCUUCUGCUUUGCUCAUUCAUUUGAAAGAGAACACAACUGUGUCAGUUGCUGGCAGUUUAGAGACAACAUUACACUGCUAAUGCUAUCACAGAUUUCUAUCAUUUUGUGAAAGCUUUGAUCCCUGUGUGUCAAGCUGCGUACCAAGAAUCCAUAAAGCACAAAAUAAAGGACUGGUCGUAAAAAUUUUUAUUAGCUUCAUUUUGAUACCAGAACAACAGUCAUAGGAGGAAUACUUUUGAACUAAUGAAAGAAAACGCAAAAUCAGGCAAAUUGGCGUAUUGGGAGCCAGUGGCAUAAGGGUGAAAGUUCAUUAUGCUUUGUUGGGGACCAUCAAAAGUAUUUAAAUUCUGAAGUCCACUAAAUAUAUUGAUCUUGCUCUGGAUGAUCACACACUCUCCUCCAACUUAAAAUAUGGAGCUUCUCAUUGACAAUUACCAAGGAGCAGGCAUCGGCAUUGACUCCAUGACACUCCUAUCCUCGAACAUGGCCGUUGCCAAAGGGACUAUAAGUAGAAUCCGACCACUAGCAAGUGGGACUUCGGGGGGAUAUAGCAAUCAUCAACCAUCUGGUGGAUAUGAUCUCUCUGCGUCAAGGUAGGUUUCUAAAUGAAUGUGUUUUUUUUUCUGUUUUUUAAAUUCAUUCUCAAAUAGUGAUAUGGGAUUAGGAGUCCUUUCUGGUCACCUGGCUGCUUUGCAAGAGAAGACGAAGGGCUGACUAUGGCAAUGCAAGUCAGAUUCCUCAAACUGCAUGCAUUUUACUCCCAAGAUGCCUCAGACCGUGACAAUGGUCAUUGUGGUAUUGCAGACAACUCUAGGUUCCAAUGCGAUGUUAGUAUUUUCAUGCUAACCCCAACACUCUUUCAGCCUAGUAGGAUUCUUUUUAAAGCCAAUGAGAACUUUCCCCAGCCAAGAACUCUUCACAUGUAAAUUCGCGAUGAGAGAGAGAUAGCAAUCCCUUACACAAUUAAUUUCUCUGCCAAAUGGUACUGUAAUGUUCAGAACAGGCUACAGUGCCACUGUUUCUUUAUAGCGGCCACAUGUUCAGUUGUUUAGUAAAUGAAGUACUUUAGUCUGGAGUUAGAGCUGAAUGAAUAUUCAGAUAUUCUCAGGAUGACAUAGGAACAAAAUCUUUUUGAAACAUGAAUUAGACAACAAAUAGCCCUCCACGCAGUGUGCAGCAGGUCAAUUUAAAGAUACUAAAGUUGUCAAAGACGAAGCCUCAAAUAAUGAUUCAUGUUUAGAGCAAAGUCUGUAAACUGGUCGUGCUGCAGAAAUCGAUUGAUGAUAUCACUACAACCCAGGCCUGGCAGUCUCCAUGUUUAUUCUUCAUCACUCAUUAUUUUAGAAGGUACAUCUAACUAAAUACAUCAAACUCUCUCCUUUUAUCAUGAAGUCAUGAAUUCUAUCUUCAGAAAUAUCCAGGCUCGCAUGCAUAUUACGGAUGGAACCCAGUACAAGCGCAAUCCCAGAACAGGCAUCUUUGAGUACCUGAGACUCAUUCCUGAUCUCCCAACCAAUGAUUGUGGAUGUGGGUCACCAUUCAAGAACACCGAAUUCCCAGAUGGCCUUCCUGUGAUGGAGGAUUUUACUUGUACCCUCUACAUGCGUCAUGCUCCGGUAGCGUGUAAAGUUUACAAAAGAAAGUGUCUGGCAUCCUGUGCGGCAGACGUUCAAUACAGUGGCCAGAAAGACAGCAUAUUCUUCUGGUCAAGACAAGUUGCUGCUGCAGACGAGGUUGGUUGGGAUUUCGUUAACCUCAUCAUGUCCAGUAAGAUGUCGUUUUCCAACUUUUGUCUAGAGAAAUCUAGAUAUUACAGAACCAUGAACCCCAUUUCUGCACCCUUCAUGAAUAAGGGCACCUUUAUAUCUUGGUUUUUUGCAUGGUGCAGCAAAAUGGACAUUGAUUUCCGUGCCCAUGUCGACCCUUAGUGUGGUCAUCACCCAUCCGCCAUUGCUGGUGAUGGUACACACAUUGGCCUGUCGCUUCGGAAGGUCGACAUAACUCCUGUUGAUAAGCCAGACACCCAAGAAAGGCUGGUUUCUAUACAUCGGCGAUUUGAUCGCAAUUUCUUGCCAUACCGUAGGGGUAUUUCUGAUGAUAAUGUUAGGAGGGGUAGGCAACAUCUGAAAAGCCAGUCAAAGAGAUUCUUGUCAGACGAUACAACACAGAUCACUGAAGAGGUUAGAGGAGCUGAAGAUCAAAAUCUUCUACGUGUUUGUUCACAGGAUGAUCGCUGCAAAAAUAUGCUGAAACUAUAUUUGAGCAGCGAUCUUCCUGCUAGUCUUCGUCAAGUGUUGGCCGAUCUGUUCCUCCUUUUGAGUUCAGAGUCAGCUCUUUCAACUGUUGUUCCCCCUAGGUACCAUGCGGACAUACUUUCUGUCACUGAUGCACACAUUUUUCGCCUCUUUUGCCCAGAACUGGGUCGUGCUUAUGAGGCAUGUACUCUCCAUGGGAAAAGUGAAAUUUUCAUGGGAUUUCUCAUCUACCUGGUAGAUUCAGUCAAUGAUGUUCACAUCAAUGAUAGGCCCUAUAUGCCUCCUCUCUCUAUCGAUAACACGUAUAAUCCAGAGUCUGGCGUCACUUAUUAUUUCUCCCCUCAUGGGAACAUGGUUCGCCGUCUGCCAGAGUAUAAUCUAAAAACAGCUUCAGCAAUUCACGACGACCUGCCGAGUGAAGGAGAACGUUGUAAAAAAGAAUUUGGCCGUGUGUCAAUAGGCGGUUGGUCCUUCUUGUUCUUGUGGUUUUGCCCUAUGCAUGGGCACUGUUACGGGUUCCAUAUUGUUGACGGCAAAGAGGGCAGGAAGGACCCCUUUGCAUCUAUAUACAGAUAUAUGCCAGCUCCUCCAAAGGAAUUUUUUUUUGAUUUUGCUUGUUCGCUUAGCGAAUAUUCUCUCAAUAGGGAGCCAGAUUUCUUUAAGAAUACCAGGAUGUGGCACGAUGUCUUCCACAGUGUCGUCCAUAUCUGUGGCAAAAGUUUCAAAUCUAGAAGAGUUGUCAGCCUGAGCUCGUACAACACUGAAAUAUGCGAGCAAUUCAACUCUUUUCUUCAGUGUCUCAGAUAUACUGGCUCUCACAUGACCCAGAGUCAUUUCACUUUUUUUUUGUUCAGUUCCUGAUUAAUGUUUGGAAUCAGAGGAAAACUGAAACUUUUCGAUCAAAGAUCGACUUGGCCUCAGCAGGCUAUGAUUAGAUUGUCAUUGUAAAAACAACUUAUCCCCAAAUUUAUACUUAUAAGUUUAGGGGUUUAUAGUCUGAUAUUGUUUGCGAUGUUAAUUGUGUGAUAGAACCAGAGUUUUAUUAUGUUGUUGAAGUUUUCACCUAUCUGUCCGCGAGUCGGCUCUUUCAACUGUUGUUAAUCUGAAAUGACGCCAGAUUGGCUGCUGUAUUGUCAAUGAUAAAUUGAUUUAACACUGACCAGUUUUCCAAAGUGAAUAAAUCAGAAUCAGCGUACAUCACCGUACCAAAUAUCGUGGGUUUCUGGGAGUCACAAUUGUAUACCAUACAAUUGCAGGUCCGGAGACUGGAAAUAAGGGGUGGGGAUUGAAAAGUACCCAGCCAAAAGGGGUAGGGAUUGAAAGUUAGUGCUACUUGCAGUAAGGGGCUUACAAAAAUGUUUAGUGCGGUGAUGUGCUACACGCUUUAAGGGGGUGCCCCCCUGGGUUUUAUUAUUCUUUAAAAGGCACAAAAAAUGUUAAAUUUUGCAUCAAAUGCAGUUCAAGUUAAAUUGACUACUGUAGAACAUGCCUAUAACAUUCUUUCCUAAACAGACUUCGCCUGUAAGGUACGAAUACCACAAUUUAAUAUUCAUUCGGACAGUCAUAUGGUAAAGGAGCUGUCCCUCUGACCUAGGAAUAUUUAAUGAACCGACGGUUAAACUAAAUCACAUAAAUGAUCAUGUGUAACGUCCAUACACAAAAUUUUGGCCCUGCUUAGGUACGUUAUGGGUGAAUUCUACUGUUCAUGUACAAUCAUGUAAUGAUAUGCCAAAUUUAAUGGACAUAUUUGCCAACUCCAAUACACAGUGGAUAAAUGAGGACAAAGGUCAGCGGCUUGUUUCAUUCUUUUAUUCCCGAGCUCGAUCCAGGCUGAGCAGGUAGCUAUUUAUUCUCAUUCAUACCUAUCUAUCAUUUUGUACACCGACGACAAAAGAAUGGCACCCGAUGACCUUCGCCCCUCAUGAAUUGGUCACUAAACCGCUGCGUUUAUCCACCGUGGUCACAGCAGUUAAAAUUUGUAUGUUGAUGAAAUUUGUGCUAUAAUGUUUUGUCUUGUUCGAAUUGUAGGUGCAUCAAGCAUGAUGCUAUCCAUUUUAUCUACAAUUAUGAUGCUUCUUGUCAUUGAGAACCAGUUCUGCUAGUUUUGAUGCCAUUAGUCAACCAAUAGGGGGUGUCGCACAAAACUCGAUUUUCUUUGGACCCCUAUUAUAGUUCUGGGUCGACGAAAUAGCUGUUGUUAGCUUUCUUUAUUCAAUAUUUCAUGACAUGUAUCCAUGUACACUUUUUGUAUGUAUGUAUGCAUAUUCUGUCAUGUUAUCCGGACAUAAAAGUUGGCUAUAUUAAAGUAAAAUGAAUCAA
RNA transcript from Lineus longissimus, 6417 nucleotides. RefSeq lists it as uncharacterized. The transcript has 8 exons. The record is from RefSeq and is a predicted model, not a curated record. Lineage: Eukaryota; Metazoa; Nemertea; Pilidiophora; Heteronemertea; Lineidae.